Transfer RNA from Operophtera brumata (winter moth), 73 nucleotides. It matches the Rfam family "tRNA". From Rfam's summary of the family: Transfer RNA (tRNA) molecules are approximately 80 nucleotides in length. Their secondary structure includes four short double-helical elements and three loops (D, anti-codon, and T loops). NCBI's taxonomy places the organism in Eukaryota, Metazoa, Arthropoda, Insecta, Lepidoptera, Geometridae. The record is from Rfam.
CGUUCUAUUGCCGAACUGGUAAAGGCAUCGCCGAUCACAGGCAAAGGUGCGGGUUCGAGUCCCGCUGGAACGA